Molecule: ribosomal RNA, 618 nt
Filed under: Candidatus Poseidoniaceae archaeon
Lineage: Archaea; Methanobacteriati; Thermoplasmatota; Candidatus Poseidoniia; Candidatus Poseidoniales; Candidatus Poseidoniaceae
Description: bacterial SSU rRNA
Rfam family: Archaeal small subunit ribosomal RNA
Source: RNAcentral
AAUCUGGUUGAUCCUGCCAGAGGCGACCGCUUUUGGAGUUCGAUUAAGCCAUGCGAGUAGAAUGAAUUAGAUCAUUGCGAACUGCUCAGUAACACGUGGAUAACCUGCCCUAUGCUCUGGGAUAACCUUGGGAAACUGAGAAUAAUACCGGAUAGAUCACAACGCCUGGAACGGUGUGUGGUUCAAAGGUCACGGCAUAGGAUGGGUCUGCGGCGUAUCAGGUCGUAGGGGGUGUAAUGGACCUCCUAGCCAUCGACGCGUACGGGUUGUGGGAGCAAUAGCCCGGAGAUGGAUUCUGAGACACGAAUCCAGACCCCACGGGGUGCAGCAGGCGCGAAAACUUCACACUGCAGGAAACUGUGAUGAGGGAACUCCAAGUGACUACACAUUUGUGUAGCUCUUUUCUUAACUAUUAAUCGGUUUUGGAAUAAGGGCUGGGAAAGACCGGUGCCAGCCGCCGCGGUAAUACCGGCAGCUCGAGUGGUCGUCGCUUUUAUUGGGCCUAAAACGUCCGUAGCCUGUUUGGUAAAUCUGUGGGUAAAUCAACCAGCUUAACUGGUUGAAUUCUGCAGAGACUGCCAGACUAGGGACCGGGAGAGGUGUGGGGUACUCUAGGGG